AGUGAACGCUGGCGGUAGGCCUAACACAUGCAAGUCGAACGGCAGCACAGUAGAGCUUGCUCUCUGCGUGGCGAGUGUCGGACGGGUGAGGAAUACAUCGGAAUCUGCCCAGUCGUGGGGGAUAACGUAGGGAAACUUACGCUCAUACCGCAUACGCCCUUCGGGUGUAAGAGGGGGAUCUCAAGACCUCUCGCGCUUGUAUGAGCCGAUGUCGGAUUAGCUAGUUGGCGGGGUAAUGGCCCACCAAGGCGACGAUCCGUAGCUGGUCUGAGAGGAUGAUCAGCCACACUGGAACUGAGACACGGUCCAGACUCCUACGGGAGGCAGCAGUGGGGAAUAUUGGACAAUGGGCGCAAGCCUGAUCCAGCCAUACCGCGUGGGUGAAGAAGGCCUUCGGGUUGUAAAGCCCUUUUGUUGGGAAAGAAAACUUGCAGGCUAAUACCCUGGGAGGAUGACGGUACCCAAAGAAUAAGCACCGGCUAACUUCGUG
RNAcentral lists this ribosomal RNA (490 nucleotides) under uncultured bacterium. Its description in RNAcentral is "partial 16S ribosomal RNA". It matches the Rfam family "Bacterial small subunit ribosomal RNA", at positions 29 to 507 of the family's 1533-position model. The record is from RNAcentral.